RNAcentral lists this transfer RNA (75 nucleotides) under Pseudorhodoplanes sp. Its description in RNAcentral is "tRNA-Ala". It matches the Rfam family "tRNA". From Rfam's summary of the family: Transfer RNA (tRNA) molecules are approximately 80 nucleotides in length. Their secondary structure includes four short double-helical elements and three loops (D, anti-codon, and T loops). Lineage: Bacteria; Pseudomonadati; Pseudomonadota; Alphaproteobacteria; Hyphomicrobiales. The record is from RNAcentral.
GGCCCGGUGGCGGAGCGGCGACGCGGAGGUCGUGCAAGAUCUUUGAGCCUGGUUCGAUUCCAGGCCGGGCCUCCA